GAUGAACGCUGACAGAAUGCUUAACACAUGCAAGUCAACUUGAACUUCGGUUUGGGUGGCGGACGGGUGAGUAACGCGUAAAGAACUUGCCUCACAGAUAGGGACAACAUUUGGAAACGAAUGCUAAUACCUGAUAUUAUGAUUUUAGGGCAUCCUAGGAUUAUGAAAGCUAUAUGCGCUGUGAGAGAGCUUUGCGUCCCAUUAGCUAGUUGGAGAGGUAACGGCUCACCAAGGCGAUGAUGGGUAGCCGGCCUGAGAGGGUGAUCGGCCACAAGGGGACUGAGACACGGCCCGUACUCCUACGGGAGGCAGCAGUGGGGAAUAUUGGACAAUGGACCAAGAGUCUGAUCCAGCAAUUCUGUGUGCACGAUGAAGUUUUUCGGAAUGUAAAGUGCUUUCAGUUGGGAAGAAAAAAAUGACGGUACCAACAGAAGAAGUGACGGCUAAAUACGUG
This 454-nucleotide ribosomal RNA is filed under the name uncultured bacterium. RNAcentral describes it as "partial 16S ribosomal RNA". It matches the Rfam family "Bacterial small subunit ribosomal RNA", at positions 28 to 507 of the family's 1533-position model. The record is from RNAcentral.